This 776-nucleotide long non-coding RNA is filed under the name Ananas comosus (pineapple). RNAcentral describes it as "long non-coding RNA (ACOM_LNC039151)". The record is from RNAcentral. Lineage: Eukaryota; Viridiplantae; Streptophyta; Magnoliopsida; Poales; Bromeliaceae.
CACCCAAAAAUGUGUUUGGGUACAAAAGGGGGGAUAACCCCCUUAUCCCCCCUCUUGUACCCAAUUCAAACACUUGCUCAGGGUCUGGAUCCUUUGUAUAAAAUUUUCGGGUGAAACCUUUGGGAUCCGAAUCUUUCCAUAGAGCCCGAAUCCUAAAAAUUGCUCUAUUACUCACGUGGUUUCCCAAUCCUUUUUCCGUUUCCUUUCGUCAUCCCUUCCCAUCUCUCCUGUCUUCUCUCUCCCUCUACACCAUCCUCCCUUCCCAUCCACUUCUCUCCUUCCUCACCCUUUACUCCGUCCUCCCUUCCUGUUGCCUCCUCUACUUUCUCUCCCUCUACUACGUCGACCCUUCCUAUUCUCUCCCCUCAUCCCUCUCCCUCUACACCCUCCGACGACGACAAUGACGUUGGCACCGUCGAUGCUGCCGCCGCUACUAACGAGAUGUCAAUGACGACGACACCAAUAUUGGCAAUGACGAUGCCGGCCGAUGUCACUGAUGCUGCCGUUGCCCGGCGAUGCCACUGAUGCUGCUACUGUUAACGACGAUGACAACGGCACUCUUCCUAACUGUCAUGGUGGCAGGAGAAAUAAUAGUAAGAGAAAAGGAUUGGAGCAGCGGUGAGCGUCGAUGGCGGUAGCAAUAGUGUGUGAUGGUGGUGGAGAUGGAGUAAGAGAACAAGGAGAAAAAGGAGACGAUCAACGCUGUUGACUUAGGAGUUGUGGAAAAAGGGAUAGGGAGGGGGAGUCUCUUUGUGCGCAAGGGAUAGGGUGCUAUU